This is a non-coding RNA of Gossypium raimondii (Peruvian cotton), 87 nucleotides long. Lineage: Eukaryota; Viridiplantae; Streptophyta; Magnoliopsida; Malvales; Malvaceae. The record is from Rfam.
CAUGUAAGCGCAAGAUGCUUACGUGGAAGGAAAUCGCUCCCUCAAGGACGCGAUUUCCUUCCACGUAAGCAUCUCGCGCUUAUGUGG